AUGUGUGUCGGGGUCUGGUUGCACAUGCGUGUCAAGGUCUGGCCACACAUGCGUUGGGGAAGUCUGUGUGCACGCACACAUGUGUGUCGUAUCGGGGUCUGGGUGUACAUGCGUGUCGGGAUCUGUGUGCACGCACAUGCGUGUCGGGCUCUGCCGCUGCUUGCGCGCUCUCGCAGCUGGGUGCUCGAGGCCUCUCCCGGGUCCAGGGUGCGCAUGCGCGCUGGCCUCCAUGGGUGGCGGGACCGAGUGUAUGACUUGCGUGGGAGUACGAGGCUGACGCGGCGGCCCUGUCCCCGUAACUGUGACACGGGUGCACGCGAGCGUCAUUGGGGGCGAUGGGGGCCUCGCUGGGUGCGCUUCUGCACUGGUGACGCAACCGCUGUGUCUCCGCCAGUCCGCGCAGGCCAGCAUCCUUCAGGAAAAGCACCCCCGAGGAGGAAGAGCAAUCGUUAAACAUCUUAAAGGGUCAGGUGAGUAUCCCUUUUUUUUUUUUUAAAUUAAAUGAUAUGUGUUUGUAAGACUUAAGACCAAACAUUAAAUGUAGAUGACCAAGAUUUGAGUCCUGUUUCUGCCUGUUAGCUUUUUGAGCCUUCUGAAGAUAGGCUUGUGAGGAGGGUGAAAUGCAUUAACAUGUGUAAAACCAUAGACCCGCACCCCGGAGUGUGAGUGCGCAGUGAGUGCUGCUGUUAUGUGCUGAGUCUGGAUGUCGGUACAUCAGGAGCAAUGUAUAUAUGAAGGUAACUGAGAUGGGUGUUUGCAAGUUCACAAAAUGAACCACAGCCUCAAAUGGUCUAGAACUGUUAUCCUUAACCUGAGGGCCUUCCAUAAAGUGAACCAAUUUUGUAAAAUACAAAAAUUAGCUGGAUCUGGUGGUGCAUGCCUGUAAUCCCAGCUCCUCAGGAGGCUGAGGCAGGAGAAUCACUUCAACCUGGGAGGCUGUGAACCUGUGAUGAGCUGAGAUCACGCCACCACACUCCAGCCUGGGUGACAGAGCAAGACAUUGUCUCCAAAAAAAGCUUUGUGACUAAAUGUGUGGGGAGAAGCAAGCUGUUGUAGUGGACAUCAGUUGGUGUCCUGCAGUUCAAUUCUGACACCGUCUACCUGGAUAUGGCAUCAGAUUCCACAGGUUGUGAGCAAGACUGUCCCACUCUGCCCCACUAGCCACAAGACCAGGCCUCUGGGACAUCUUGCUAACCCUCCGCAGGUUGGGGUUCUUUUUUUUUUUUUUUUUUUUUUUGUUGUUGUUGUUGUUGUUGUUGAGACGGAGUCUCGCUCUGUCGCCCAGGCUGGAGUGCAGUGGCCGGAUCUCAGCUCACUGCAAGCUCCGCCUCCCGGGUUCACGCCAUUCUCCUGCCUCAGCCUCCCAAGUAGCUGGGACUACAGGCGCCCGCCACCUCGCCCGGCUAGUUUUUUGUAUUUUUAGUAGAGACCGGGUUUCACUGUGUUAGCCAGG
This 1453-nucleotide long non-coding RNA is filed under the name Piliocolobus tephrosceles (Ugandan red Colobus). RNAcentral describes it as "lncRNA (ENSPTEG00000023285.1)". The record is from RNAcentral. Lineage: Eukaryota; Metazoa; Chordata; Mammalia; Primates; Cercopithecidae.